Molecule: long non-coding RNA, 867 nt
Organism: Paramacrobiotus metropolitanus
Lineage: Eukaryota; Metazoa; Tardigrada; Eutardigrada; Parachela; Macrobiotidae
Exons: 3
Source: RefSeq, a predicted model, not a curated record
UUAAUAAGGUAUCAUAAAAAACUCAAAAACUGGCAGACUAUCAGCCGACAGCGCAAUGCUCUGAUGACUGUGGUAGGUUUACAAAAACUUAUUAUUCUCCGUACCACGCUUGGAUUCCAUUCCGAAAUGGUAUCAGUGAUCAAAGAUCGAAGUCGUAACUGACUCCAGUCAACCUCAGGAUCAUCCGGAAGUGCACUGCAAUUAAGCUGUUUUUAUAGUGUCAUCUCAUCAGAAACGGUUUUCCCCUAGAGUAGUGUUUUCCUCCAAAUAUUUACUUCUGAUUGUUAUUAAAUAUUACUCAAAGUUAAAUCUUCGUACUCUCGCAAUAAAGCCCCUCGGUUUCUAAUUUAGGAGGGACUCGACUAGUACGUCUUAUUGUUAACAGCUUACGGAUCGUCAAUGCACUUUAUAUUGUCUCGAUGCACACCCAGAAUUUCACAAGCUUCCACGAGCUCUCGCUUUCGUAUGUCCCCCAUGCCGUAAUGAUUUCCUAAACCAUCCAGAAAAGCACAAAGAAAGUCUUAGAACAUGUAAGAAUGACGAUGCAAGAACACGGAUCAUUCUCGCAAAUUAAUUGGAUACCGUAUGCUAGGAACGAAUUAUGGACCGUACAGAAGUCUCUAACAGCUUACCUAUGGAACAGCAUAAAACAAAGACAUCUUCCAAACACCAUUUCCGUACGGCUGUUACGAUUAACGGCCCGAAAAACAUGCACUCGUCAUCUGGGUGUGCUAUCACCACCAACAAUCGUUCGCUUUGUUUUAGCUUCCGUUUCCUCUCUGGAAUCUGAGUUUGCCAGCUUAUGCAUUUAUAAAUAACCAGCAUUCCAACGAACAUUGAUAUCAACAGGUAAAAGGCCAUUGUAGU